This is a long non-coding RNA of Drosophila pseudoobscura, 336 nucleotides long. RefSeq lists it as uncharacterized. The record is from RefSeq and is a predicted model, not a curated record. Lineage: Eukaryota; Metazoa; Arthropoda; Insecta; Diptera; Drosophilidae. The transcript has 2 exons.
GUAUUCAAUUUUAAACGGUUAUUCAAAGCAAAUGUAUAGCAAACGGCAUUUGCGUAGGCUCAAUAAAGAAAUAUAAGACAAAUAUGCAGCCAAACAUAAUCGUGCUAGCGGAGAAACAGUGUCGUGCAGUGAAAUAGAAAAAGUUGAAGGCCGCGAAAUAGGAGAGACAAUCGACGAAAAUUAAACAAAUGGAAAGUGACACUGAAAAAUUUAAAGAACUUCUUUAGAGUUUUGAUUGAUGCCAUAACUGUAGGUACGGGGACUGGAUCAGCUGAAGUCCAGAUUAGGAAAGCCCUACAGCUGCAAAAAAAACGUUUUUUCAAAAACAGUACCACC